Gopherus flavomarginatus (Mexican gopher tortoise) is the source of this 510-nucleotide long non-coding RNA. RefSeq lists it as uncharacterized. Lineage: Eukaryota; Metazoa; Chordata; Testudines; Testudinidae. The transcript has 3 exons. The record is from RefSeq and is a predicted model, not a curated record.
UGUCGCGGUGUGUGUGUGUGUGUGACGCAGGCCGGGGUGUGUGUGUUGGGUUGUGUGUGUGUGUGACGCAGGCCGGUGUGUGUGUGUCGGGGUGUGUAUGUGUGUCUGUGACGCAGGCCGGGGUGUGUGUGUCGAGUUGUGUGUGUGUGUCGGGGUGUGUGUGUGUGUGACGCAGGCCGGGGUGUGUGUGUCGGGUUGUGUGUGUGUGUGUGUGUGUGUGUGACGCAGGCCGGGGUGUGUGUGUCGGGUUGUGUGUGUGUGUGUCGGGCUGUGUGUGUGUGUGUGACGCAGGCCGGGGUGUGUGUGUCGGGUUGUGUGUGUGUGUGUGUGUGUGUGACGCAGGCCGGGGUGUGUGUGUCGGGUUGUGUGUGUCGGGGUGUGUGUUUGUGUGUGUGACGUAGGCCGGGGUGUGUGUGUCAGGUUGUGUGUGUCGGGGUGUGUGUGUGUGUGUGACGCAGGCCGGGGUGUGUGUGUCGGGUUGUGUGUGUGUGUGUGCUUGGGUGUGUGUGU